RNAcentral lists this ribosomal RNA (400 nucleotides) under uncultured bacterium. RNAcentral's name for it is "partial 16S ribosomal RNA". It matches the Rfam family "Archaeal small subunit ribosomal RNA", at positions 473 to 873 of the family's 1478-position model. The record is from RNAcentral.
AUACCCGCAGCCCAAGUGGUGGUCGAUUUUAUUGAGUCUAAAACGUUCGUAGCCGGUUCAUUAAAUCCUUGGGUAAAUCGGAUGGCUUAACUAUCCGAAUUCCGGGGAGACUGGUGAACUUGGGACCGGGAGAGGCAAGAGGUACUUUUGGGGUAGGGGUAAAAGCCUGUAAUCCUAAAAGGACCACCGGUGGCGAAGGCGUCUUGCUAGAACGGAUCCGACGGUGAGGGACGAAGCCCUGGGUCGCAAACGGGAUUAGAUACCCCGGUAGUCCAGGGUGUAAACGCUGCAGACUUGGUGUUGGGGACCCUUCGGGGGUGUUCAGUGCCGGAGAGAAGUUGUUAAGUCUGCUACUUGGGGAGUACGUCCGCAAGGAUGAAACUUAAAUGAAUUGGCGGGG